Long non-coding RNA from Sander lucioperca (pikeperch), 407 nucleotides. RefSeq lists it as uncharacterized. Lineage: Eukaryota; Metazoa; Chordata; Actinopteri; Perciformes; Percidae. The record is from RefSeq and is a predicted model, not a curated record. The transcript is spliced from 3 exons.
GUCCUGUCAGAGUCUCCAGCUGCUGUGAAACUCUGCCAUCAGAGUGCUGACUGACAGAGCUUUUGGAACGCUGCCAGCUGCUUCUGACUGGCAGAACUACAGCUCAGACCGGCCCUCUGCUCUGACGUCAUACUGACAUUUCUAGGUUUGGAUUUAAAGGUGUGAGGAGGUGACAGCUGUCGCUCAGAUGAACACAGACAGCAGCAGCGUCUGUCAGUGUCUGCAGACGGAGGAGGAUGUCUGUCUGACCUCAUCUGGACGGGAUCUUUAACAGUCAGAGCAGCUGGGUGAAGAAAUGCAGAAUGAGAAACUGCUUCAGCUGAAGAUCCAGAAACAUCACAGCUGUGAGAGCAGCUGGAGGAAGUAAUGCAGAAUGGGAAACUGCUCCAGCCGGGCUAAAGAUCCAG